GGAUGAACGCUGGCGGCGUGCCUAAUACAUGCAAGUCGAACGGAGACAGUAGCAAUAUUGUCUUAGUGGCGAACGGGUGAGUAACGCGUUGGUGACCUGCCUCAGAGAGAGGGAUAACAGUUCGAAAGGACUGCUAAAACCGCAUGAGCUUGCCGGGACUAGAAGCCGGUAAGGAAACAGCGAAAGCUGCUCUGAGAGGGGCCUGCGUCCCAUCAGCUAGUUGGCAGGGUAACAGCCUACCAAGGCGAUGACGGGUAGGGGACCUGAGAGGGUGACCCCCCACAAUGGAACUGAAACACGGUCCAUACACCUACGGGUGGCAGCAGUAGGGAAUAUUGGUGAAUGGGCGAAAGCCCGACCCAGCAACGCCGCGUGUGCGAAGAAGGCCUUCGGGUUGUAAAGCACUUUUUAGCGGGAAGAGGAAGGACGGUACCGCUAGAAUAAGUCUCGGCUAACUACGUGCCAGCAGCCGCGGUAACACGUAGGAGACGAGCGUUAUCCGGAUUUACUGGGUGUAAAGCGCGUGUAGGCGGUCGAGUAAGUUGGAUGUGAAAGCUCCCGGCUCAACUGGGAGAGGUCGUUCAAUACUGCUUGGCUAGAGGACAGCAGAGGGGAGUGGAAUUCCGAGUGUAGCGGUAAAAUGCAUAGAUAUUCGGAAGAACACCAGUGGCGAAGGCGGCUCUCUGGGCUGGUCCUGACGCUCAGACGCGAAAGCUAGGGUAGCAAACGGGAUUAGAGACCCCGGUAGUCCUAGCCGUAAACGAUGUGGACUUGGCGUUGGAGGGUUUAAAUCCUUCAGUGCCGCAGCAAACGCGAUAAGUCCACCACCUGGGGACUACGGCCGCAAGGUUAAACUCAAA
Molecule: ribosomal RNA, 860 nt
Filed under: uncultured bacterium
Lineage: Bacteria
Description: bacterial SSU rRNA
Rfam family: Bacterial small subunit ribosomal RNA
Source: RNAcentral